Molecule: ribosomal RNA, 505 nt
Filed under: uncultured bacterium
Lineage: Bacteria
Description: bacterial SSU rRNA
Rfam family: Bacterial small subunit ribosomal RNA
Source: RNAcentral
CAGAACGAACGCUGGCGGCGCGUCUUAAGCAUGCAAGUCGAACGGCAAGAGGUAGCAAUACCUCCUAGAGUGGCGGACUGGUGAGUAACACGUGGGUGACAUACCCUUCAGAUGGGGAUAGCUAUUAGAAAUAGUAGAUAAUACCGAAUACGAGCACAGGGGGUUAGAGAUCUGUGAGGAAAGGAGCUAAGGCUCCGCUGAAGGAAUGGCCUGCGGCCCAUUAGCUAGUUGGUGAGGUAAGAGCCCACCAAGGCGAUGAUGGGUAUCCGGCCUUAGAGGGUGAACGGACACAUUGGGACUGAGAUACGGCCCAGACUCCUACGGGAGGCAGCAGCUAAGAAUAUUCCGCAAUGGACGAAAGUCUGACGGAGCGACGCCGCGUGGAUGAAGAAGGCCGGAAGGUUGUAAAAUCCUUUUGAAACUGAAGAAUAAGCGUUGUAGGGAAUGACAGCGUGGUGACAGUAGGUUUUGAAUAAGCAACGGCUAAUUACGUGCCAGCCGCAGC